RNAcentral lists this non-coding RNA (960 nucleotides) under Nycticeius humeralis (evening bat). Its description in RNAcentral is "12S ribosomal RNA". It matches the Rfam family "Bacterial small subunit ribosomal RNA". Lineage: Eukaryota; Metazoa; Chordata; Mammalia; Chiroptera; Vespertilionidae. The record is from RNAcentral.
CAUAGGUUUGGUCCUGGCCUUUCUAUUAGUUAUUAGUAGAAUUAUACAUGCAAGAAUCCCCAUACCUGUGAAAAUGCCCUCUAAUCAUUAAUUGAUAAAAGGAGCUGGUAUCAAGCACACUAAAAGUAGCUCAUAACACCUUGCUCAGCCACACCCCCACGGGAUACAGCAGUAAUAAAAAUUAAGCAAUAAAUGAAAAUUUGACUAAGUCAUACUAUUAAGCACUGGUAAAUCUCGUGCCAGCCACCGCGGUCAUACGAUUAGACCAAACUAAUAGAUAUUCAGCGUAAAGGGUGUUUUAGAUUAACAUAACCAAUAAAGUUAAAUUUUAACUAAACUGUAAAAAGUCCUAGUUACUGUAAAUUAGACAACGAAAGUGACUUUAAUGUAUCUGACACACAAUAGCUAAGACCCAAACUGGGAUUAGAUACCCCACUAUGCUUAGCCCUAAACAUAAAAAAUUAUUUAACAAGAUUAUUCGCUAGAGUACUACCAGCAAUAGCUAGAAACUCAAAGGACUUGGCGGUGCCUUAUAUCCUUCUAGAGGAGCCUGUUCUAUAACCGAUAAACCCCGAUAAACCUCACCAAUUCUUGCUAAAUCAGCCUAUAUACCGCCAUCUUCAGCAAACCCUAAAAAGGAAAUACAGUAAGCACAAGAAUUUACAUAAAAACGUUAGGUCAAGGUGUAGCCCAUGAAUUGGGAAGAAAUGGGCUACAUUCCUCGAAUCAAGGUAUUAUAAUUACGAAAACUUAUGUGAAAACCAUGAGUUAAAGGUGGAUUUAGCAGUAAAUUAAGAAUAGAGUGCUUAAUUGAAUAAGGCCAUGAGGCACGCACACACCGCCCGUCACCCUCCUCAAACAAAAUUAAACAUCACACAAUAUAUGUAUGCAUGUAAACACACUUGCAAGAGGAGAUAAGUCGUAACAAGGUAAGCGUACUGGAAAGUGCGCUUGGAUAAC